RNAcentral lists this ribosomal RNA (207 nucleotides) under Pinalitus oromii. Its description in RNAcentral is "partial 16S ribosomal RNA". Lineage: Eukaryota; Metazoa; Arthropoda; Insecta; Hemiptera; Miridae. The record is from RNAcentral.
AUUUGUCUUUUAAUUGAAGGCUAGUAUGAAUGGUUGGACGAAAAAAUACUUUCUUUAUUUUAUAUAAAUAAAUUAAUUUUUUAGUUAAAAAGCUAAGAUUUUUUUAUAGGACGAGAAGACCCUAUAGAACUUUAUUUUCUACAUAUAUAUAUUUUAUAGAUUUUUAAAAUAUUAUAUAUUAAUAGUUAAUUUAAUUGGGGUGAUUGA